Molecule: long non-coding RNA, 1810 nt
Organism: Brassica napus (rape)
Lineage: Eukaryota; Viridiplantae; Streptophyta; Magnoliopsida; Brassicales; Brassicaceae
Exons: 4
Source: RefSeq, a predicted model, not a curated record
CCUGGUGAAGCCACAUGGGAUUCCAUGUCACAAAUUCGAGUUCUGUGCUGUUGACACGUGUCCAGUUUUAUCAAAACGCAGUGAUUCAUUAACUUGGAAAUCAGAUGGGCUUUGUCUAAAGAUUGGGCUUAAGUUCGUUCUUUGUUUUCGGCCAUGCUACCACCUUACUGCGCAAACCCUAAUCUGUGGUGAUGAACAGGUGUGUUCUUAGCGGAGACGGUGCCGGUCGAGUGUCCUACCCGUUUCUGUACGUCUUUUUUACGUCUUUAAUCCCAUUAAUUCAGACGCCAACUACGAGAUCUUCAUUUCCGUAGUUUCCGUCGGCAGUAUCGGUUAUAAUAUGUUAGUAUGUCUCUUCUGGGAAUCGCGAUCUCCAAAAUACUCAUCUAGAUAUCGAUUGCUCAUGGUGGACGUUAAGUCGAGUUGCUUUCUCAACAAUUGCUUCCUUCAGCAUCUGGUUUAGGAAGGUCAAGCAGAAGACCAUCAGAUUCCCAAUGUUAAAGAACGGUGAAUCAAGCUUGCUAAAUUAAAGGCUGCAUGCAAAAGCUCAAGGAAAUGGAUCCUUUAAUUUUGAAACUGUUAGAACCUGUUUUACCUUGCGGCCUCACCUGUUGGAAAGACAAUUGUAACUGAAGGAGGAGAUGCGACCUUAAGGUUCUGGAAUGUCUUACCAUCCCUGAAAUCUCAGUAUUAGGUGGGAUCUGUGCUGAGCGUAGUCUGCUGGGUGUGACUAGAUGUGCAACUAUGCUUGAAGAAAGAGUUAGAUCCUAUGCAAACCACCAAAACCAGGAUUCACUUCAACUGGUAUUAUUAUACUUUUGUUAACUUAUAGUAGAUAAUUAGCCGAAUUCCUUUCGUAGUUUCCUCAAGCUUUUAUUAUAUGGGAAUCAUACUUAUUGUUUUUGUAUCUUCAUAUAGCUGCUGUAAUGAGUUCCAUUAUCAUUUUUAGUCUGUUACUUUUCAUGCUAUUCAAUUACUGAGAGUCAUUGGCUAAGAUCUUGACACUGAGAUUCUUCAGGUUGAUGGAACGUCUUGAUACUUGAAUUCCCUUUCUCAUCUUUUCGUAAGAACCAAGGAGUUUGUUUAUAUCGUCACGUUAAAAACUUAGAGCUUUGCUUUCACAAUCGAGGUUUACAAUUAUCUUUUUUUUUACUGAAGUUUUACAGUUAUCUUCUUCUAUUUUUUUCUGAACUAUUGUCUAAAAUUAUCUUUAAGCAAUAAUAUUCUUUUUUUUUUUCUUAAGUACACAACUAACCAUCUCUAUUGCCCUUCUUUAAGUGGUACACCAGUUUCGAUAGGAAAGGCGCUGACCAUUUACAAGUUUUGAUUUACGUUUACCAGUUGCCACAUGCAUGAAAACCGUGACAUGACUAGGAGAUUCUCACAGAGUUAAUCACUAACCUGUAAAUAUAAGUUUCCUGUCAUACAUUUAGGGUUAUGUUCUGGAGGGAGAUACAGCCUUCUUUGGUUUAGUAUGGUUUAACAUAUAGUCCGCUUCAAAUUUUUUUGGUGUCAAUCACGGACCCGUUUCUUUUUGGAUUUAAAGUUGCAUGCAUUUGUGUGUUUGUUAUAUAUAUGAAGUCUGGAGGUAAAAGGAGAGACAAACACCAUCUGAACCAACAUGAGUGACAAGAGCAGAGGAAAAAGAGAGUUCUUCGGUAUAGAUUUGAGUCAUAAUUUGUAUCAUCAGUCUAUACCACCUAGAUUUCGGUAUAGACGACUCCGUCAUAUUUAAGAGUUUUACAUUUCUCGGUUUAAUAAAAAACAGCAUGUUAACACUUACACAUACGUCAAAUUAUUGGUUACCAAA